This is a long non-coding RNA of Drosophila montana, 3011 nucleotides long. RefSeq lists it as uncharacterized. The transcript is spliced from 2 exons. The record is from RefSeq and is a predicted model, not a curated record. Lineage: Eukaryota; Metazoa; Arthropoda; Insecta; Diptera; Drosophilidae.
UCACCGUUGCUAGUUUGACGCACGUAAAAUUAAUGUUAAUUUGGAGAUACAGAUAGCGAUGUGCCGAAUGGAAGAAACUAAUUUUAUAUAGAAUAAACACAUUUGCUAACUUUUUUAUUAAAAUGAGGUGCAGUUUACCAUUAUAUUUUUAAGCAAGUACGAUAAUCAAAUCAUUAGUUCAGCCUCUGAGUCUAUAUUGUUUUUUCUAAACGUUUUUAACUACAUAAGUAAAAUGACACACAAUUCAACAACCGUUUUAAGUUCCACAACCAAACGAAGAGGUGGUCAGCAUACCAUUUGGACACGAGAAAAAAUUUACAAACUAAUUGAGCUCUAUCGUGCAUCUGAUUGUUUGUGGAAUCAUUAUUCGGAGUUAUACAAAAACAAAGGUUGUCGAAACAAAGCCAUAAAUCGCAUAUGCACAGCUCUCGAAAUUUCAAAAAUUGACUAUGGGAAAAAAGUUCACAACCUACGAAACCAGUUUAAUUCGGAAUUGAAAAAGAUUGAAGCACGCUUAGAAAAAUCGGGAGGAAAAAAAGUAGUUUCACCAAAAGAACGCCGCUGGGAGCACUUUGAGACGUUGAUGUUUUUGAAACCUUUUAUUGAACCUCGGCCUGGAUAUCAUCAACCAAAAAUCAAGCAGAAAAUGGUAAAAAGACAUAGGAUUUCAUCGUUCAACGAAAACACAGAACCUCAAAUAUCCUCUAUAGAAAACCAGCUUGAAGAUAUUAUACAGCUACAAAUAUUGAGUUGCAAGGACACAACUGACGCCAAUGCAAAAGAACAAGGAACUUGUGAAGUACAACGGAGUUCUUCAUUAAAAACUUACAGUAGUUCUCCAAGUUUCAUUCAGAGCGGAGGACAAAGUUGUGUGGCGCUAACGGAAUCUAGACAUUCAAGUAUUCGGGAUCAAUGGGAUGCAUUUGGUGAAUUAAUAGCAAAUGAGUUGCGAAAUUUAAACUCUUCAAUUUCGCGAAAAAAACUCAAACGUAAAAUUAUGCAAGUUAUGUUAGAAGUAGGUGAAGAAGAUGACAACGAGGAAAAAAGCGUCAAUUGAACUCGCCCAUAUCUAUUGAUUUCAUAAUAAAAAAAUUCAUGCAAUGAGUCUGCGUUAACAAAGAAAUAAGUUCACAGUAAAAAACACUAAACGAAUACAACAAAUUCUUUAACGAUAAUAAAAAAAUGAAUGAAAACUUCUGUCAGGAGCUUUAAAUGUGAAUCUCCUAUGAUGCUAUGUUUGGGCACCAUGACGUACGCUUCGGGAUACAUAGCAUGAAUGCAGAAAAUUAUGUUGAGCUCUCAGAUUCAGAACUGAUCAAUUUUGGAGAAGAAUAAUUUGGAGACAGUUGUUUCAACACGAUAACGCUGUCAUGCACACAGCCUUGUUCUCACAAGCUUUUUUCAGUUUAUGCAAAUGCGAAGCAAUAGAAGAAAUGUGAAGGACCUAAAAGUCUCUAUUGUUGAAGGAUGGGCUUAACUGAACCUUCGAAUGCUUAAAGUAUUAUAUCAAUUCUAGCACGGAUUUUCAAAGUUAAAAAUAAUGGGUGCUCAAGUAAAUAAUUGUAAGGAAAUAAAAACGUAGCUGUUUUUACGAUAACCGAGUUUUGAUUAUGUCUGUUUUGCUUGUUUCUUAUACCCUGAACCUAUGUAAAUGGUUAAAAAGGGUUUAAGUACCUAUAAAUAUAAUUUUAAUUGGGACUGUAAGUUAAUAUAAGUAAACGAUAAACCACUAAACUAUAAUACAAUGUAAUAGUGCUGACCAGGCUGCCCUUGGUCCCUGAAUCAUUGGCCGCGAUCGUCUCGGAAGCGUAACAUGCGACUUGCCGACUGGCGUCCAACUACCUGUAAAAACGAAAUCCACGGGAAGAAUGUUGUGAAUUGUGUGUGAAUUAAGGUACAAAAAUAAUUACGAAAAGUAUUUAUGCGUAAAACGAAAAACAAUCCGGGAGUAACAUUGCGCAAGUUAGAAGCAAAAGCAUAUAAAAAAAACAAAAAAAAUUAAAAAUAAAACGACGAUUCUCGCAGCCCUGAGCCAAAAUAGAGGCAUAAAAAUACAAGUUCCAUUAUCACCAAGCGGAGACGAUCUACUAAAACGAUAAGAAAUUUAAGUAAAAAUCUUAACUACUAUUUUCUGUAGCUGCCAAUAAUUAGAUUUGAUAUUUCUAAAAUCUCGACUUUUUUAUACGAUACAGUUGUUCGCCCUAUCCUUGCAUCUGGUCUCCGCAGUAUAACAAUAGCCAAUCGUAUUGAUCAGCUCAGAAGCAAUUGCUGCUUCUUGCCAUAUGAAGUAUAAAUUGUGACCAAAAUCUUCGGUUGCCAUCUUACUCCAGCAGGCUUCUGAUUCUUCAUACUCCGUCGUUAACCAACCGUACGAUAAUCCUCGGUGUUGUCUUCCUACAUAAGUUGAUUAUUGGCGACAUAGAUUCUUCUUUUCUGUUAGGACGUCUUCAAUUCUCUGUUCCGUCUAGAUCUACCAGGAAUUAUCGUCCCUUAUUUCUAUCUACGUGCACAACCGAUUACACCAUGCACAAAUCUUUUCGGGUGCUAUGUAAAAUUUACAAUAGUUUACUCCCAAAUAAAAUCGUUGCUUUCAGGAUUCCUUCGGGAACUCACUGACCAUUUCCAUAGCUUGCUGGACAGGCUAUAAACUUCUCCCACCGGGUCGGUUAUUUCCUAUGAGUAUUUCUUUAUAGUUAAAAUUUCCUUACCUUACUUAAAGCCUCUUUAUUUUUUUGUUAAUGCAUUUCCUAAAAUAAUUUAGUAAAUUAAGAUUAAUUUUAAUAUUUACUUAAGAACUCUAUUUUCUCUACUAACACCGCCCUUUUUACCUGCAAGGGCAGAACUGGCCGGACGGGAAAAUAAAACACUUCCAUCGGUCGGUGAUGCUAUUAGAAAAUUGUGUAUUCUAAUUAGGAUUUUAGAAUUUAAUUUUCAUAAUUUGAUGUAUAAAAUAACUAGGCAGACAUUUGAUUUUGUCGCCCAUUUAUAAAUAAAUAAAUAAAAUGCUGCAA